AGGGAUGCUGGUCCAUGUUGACUCUACAAGGUGUUGAAAGCGUUCCACAGGGAUGCUGGCCCAUGUUGACUCUACAAGGUGUUGAAAGCGUUCCACAGGGAUGCUGGCCCAUGUUGACUCUACAAGGUGUUGAAAGCAUUCCACAGGGAUGCUGGCCCAUGUUGACUCUACAAGGUGUUGAAAGCGUUCCACAGGGAUGCUGGCCCAUGUUGACUCUACAAGGUGUUGAAAGCGUUCCACAGGGAUGCUGGCCCAUGUUGACUCUACAAGGUGUUGAAAGCGUUCCACAGGGAUGCUGGCCCAUGUUGACUCUACAAGGUGUUGAAAGCAUUCCACAGGGAUGCUGGCCCAUGUUGACUCUACAAGGUGUUGAAAGCGUUCCACAGGGAUGCUGGCCCAUGUUGACUCUACAAGGUGUUGAAAGCAUUCCACAGG
Molecule: long non-coding RNA, 435 nt
Organism: Oncorhynchus keta (chum salmon)
Lineage: Eukaryota; Metazoa; Chordata; Actinopteri; Salmoniformes; Salmonidae
Exons: 4
Source: RefSeq, a predicted model, not a curated record